CACCGGGGCCGCGGCUCGCUGGAGGAGGAUGGCGGAGCGCCGGUUCGUCUGAUCAGCUGCUGCUCAGGGGCCAUGAUGGGAACAAUACGAAAUGAUGUCUGAAUCGCAGGUCACGUGACGAGCCCAAAGGACUGGAUGGAUUAGUUUGAAGGCAAACACCUGACACAUGAUCAGACCUGGGAUAGGAAUGACUUCUGGACCUUUUGAAGAAAUCCCAGCUCGUCUAAAUGGCCGAAGGGUGACUCAUGUCUUGGAGAGCUCAUCUGAAGAGAGUUACACGAUUCACUGGAAUGAUCAAGUCCCAGCCUGAGUCACAACCACAGACCCCACUGAACAAACACAACAUGACACCAGGGCCUAUUCAUCACCAUAAAUACCCUUUUCAUUUGAUUUUUUUCUGGCUGGUGUUGGUAUAUUGUCAAAUGCAGGGGGCCUCAGCAAAUUUCCAAAUGGGGGUGGAUGAUUUUUGUCAAAAUAAAAUAGUAUUAUUUGUAUUUAUU
Pimephales promelas (fathead minnow) is the source of this 500-nucleotide long non-coding RNA. RefSeq lists it as uncharacterized. Lineage: Eukaryota; Metazoa; Chordata; Actinopteri; Cypriniformes; Leuciscidae. The record is from RefSeq and is a predicted model, not a curated record.